CGGCAAGAGCUCAAAUUUGAAAGCUGGCCCCCUCGGGGUCCGCGUUGUAAUUUGCAGAGGAUGCUUCGGGUGCAGCCCCCGUCUAAGUGCCCUGGAACGGGCCGUCAUAGAGGGUGAGAAUCCCGUCUGGGACGGGGUGUCUGCGUCCGUGUGAAGCUCCUUCGAC
RNAcentral lists this ribosomal RNA (166 nucleotides) under Aspergillaceae sp. RNAcentral describes it as "partial large subunit ribosomal RNA". It matches the Rfam family "Eukaryotic large subunit ribosomal RNA", at positions 99 to 261 of the family's 3401-position model. The record is from RNAcentral. Lineage: Eukaryota; Fungi; Ascomycota; Eurotiomycetes; Eurotiales; Aspergillaceae.